Molecule: ribosomal RNA, 643 nt
Filed under: uncultured bacterium
Lineage: Bacteria
Description: bacterial SSU rRNA
Rfam family: Bacterial small subunit ribosomal RNA
Source: RNAcentral
CGCGGCCUAUCAGCUUGUUGGUGGGGUGAUGGCCUACCAAGGCGACGACGGGUAGCCGGCCUGAGAGGGUGAUCGGCCACAUUGGGACUGAGAUACGGCCCAGACUCCUACGGGAGGCAGCAGUGGGGAAUAUUGCACAAUGGGCGGAAGCCUGAUGCAGCGACGCCGCGUGAGGGAUGACGGCCUUCGGGUUGUAAACCUCUUUCAGCAGGGACGAAGCGUAAGUGACGGUACCUGCAGAAGAAGCACCGGCUAACUACGUGCCAGCAGCCGCGGUAAUACGUAGGGUGCGAGCGUUGUCCGGAAUUACUGGGCGUAAAGAGCUCGUAGGCGGUUUGUCGCGUCGUCUGUGAAAUCCUAGGGCUUAACCCUGGACGUGCAGGCGAUACGGGCUGACUUGGGUACUACAGGGGAGACUGGAAUUUCUGGUGUAGCGGUGGAAUGCACAGAUAUCAGGAAGAACACCGAUGGCGAAGGCAGGUUACUGGGCAGUUACUGACGCUGAGGAGCGAAAGCAUGGGUAGCGAACAGGGUUAGAUACCCUGGUAGUCCAUGCCGUAAACGGUGGGCGCUAGGUGUGAGGGUCUUUCUACGACUUUCGUGCCGUAGCUAACGCAUUAAGCGCCCCGCCUGGGGAGUACGG